ACUUAUCAGGCUUCAUGAUUCACAAAAAUAUGAACUGGAAGAUGACAUGCCUUAAUAGUGCCUGGAUAUUAGCUCAGACCUUGUUUCAAAAGUAAAACUGUCAUCAUUGGCUUGAUGUUUGUCUGGUUCAAAAAGGGUAACUGAGAUAAAUUUUUUUGCUUUAAGGAUGUAAAUAACCAAGUUGAAAUCAUUUUGAGGAGAUUGACUCGGUGGUUAUACAAGAUACAAAUUUCAGUGAACAUUAGAGAUAUCAUCCGUUCUAAUUUAAGUCAUAAAUGGCAUUAACCAAUUGUUUCUUUGUCUCUCCUUCAGGCACAUGCCCAUGCACAAUCUCAUCUAUUUUAUGUGCAAUAUGUUUAUUGGUAAGACAUUGAUGUAGGGAUAAAUGAUUCUUGCUCUCCUUUUCAGCAAUGAGGCACUUAUCAUCAUCUGGCCACUUCUUGCCAACAACCUUCUGCACAGCUAAGUAUUUGAGCCGGUGUAAUUAGUUUCCUCUCGCAGAUCAAUAAAAAUUUUCAGUUUCAGUGGUCUGUGUAUUUUCAGAGACUUUGUGUCAUUAGGAAUUGAGAAAGCACAUAGCAAACAGUGUUGUUUAAGUUCUUCCUCCGUUCGUGUUUCCACCAACUUCUGUAAUAUAACAAAAGAUUGUUGGUAUAGUGUUGCCCUGCAAAUUGUAGAUACUGAUACAGACUGCAGCUAGAGUAGUCGCAUUCAUAAUAGCUGUGUGCACUAAAACUUUAAAUAAUUGUGUAAAUGUUUGGUCACAGGAAAUUGAUGAUUCAUUGUGAUUGUUAGGCAUGUCAUGAGGUAACUGCUAGAUAGAACACACAAAAACUAUCAGAAGGUAGCAGUUUCAGCAUCGCAGGCCCGUCGUAGGUAGCAACUAUGGUUCAACUCAGAACGAGUGAUGGGUGAAUCACAAGGCUGCUACAUUCACCAGUAGAUGGCCGCACACGCCAUGCUUUAUCAAUGAAGCGACGAUAGGGAUUGAAUUCGCCACUAGGCGGAGAAGCACCUCGAAGUGGAGAAUGAACACCGGAAAAAGGUGUCGACUUUGCGUUGGUUGCAUGCCAUCGCCUCACGGUCACGACCCUCUUCCUUUCCCCUCUGCUAAAACAAGGAGGAUGAAUUGGGGGCUUUGAGGAUGAUGAGAUUGAUUGUCUCACGUUGGAUCCACUCACACUCUUCUGCUUCUCGCUCACUGUUUCUUGUGUUGGAGGCUUUGGGUUCCAUUCUCACAUGUACAAGAUCAAUGGGACUGUAAACAUCAAUGUCAUAAGAGCAGCUGCUGAAAAAGGC
Zingiber officinale is the source of this 1299-nucleotide long non-coding RNA. RefSeq lists it as uncharacterized. The transcript is spliced from 3 exons. The record is from RefSeq and is a predicted model, not a curated record. NCBI's taxonomy places the organism in Eukaryota, Viridiplantae, Streptophyta, Magnoliopsida, Zingiberales, Zingiberaceae.